AGCAGCAGUAAGGAAUAUUGGUCAAUGGGCGGAAGCCUGAACCAGCCACGCCGCGUGCAGGAAGAAGGCCCUACGGGUUGUAAACUGCUUUUAUACGGGAAGAACCGCCCUCCUGCGGGGGGGUAUGACGGUACCGUAGGAAUAAGCAUCGGCUAACUCCGUGCCAGCAGCCGCGGUAAUACGGAGGAUGCAAGCGUUAUCCGGAUUCAUUGGGUUUAAAGGGUGCGUAGGUGGGUCCAUAAGUCAGUGGUGAAAUCCGGCAGCUCAACUGUCGCACUGCCUCUGAUACUGUGGGUCUUGAGUUAAGUUGAAGCAGGCGGAAUAUGACAUGUAGCGGUGAAAUGCAUAGAUAUGUCAUAGAACACCGAUAGCGAAGGCAGCCUGCUAAACUUACACUGACACUGAUGCACGAAAGCGUGGGUAGCGAACAGGAUUAGAUACCCUGGUAGUCCACGCCGUAAACGAUGAUCACUCGCUGCAUGCGAUAUA
Molecule: ribosomal RNA, 489 nt
Filed under: uncultured bacterium
Lineage: Bacteria
Description: bacterial SSU rRNA
Rfam family: Bacterial small subunit ribosomal RNA
Source: RNAcentral